Molecule: long non-coding RNA, 6267 nt
Organism: Cebus imitator (Panamanian white-faced capuchin)
Lineage: Eukaryota; Metazoa; Chordata; Mammalia; Primates; Cebidae
Exons: 2
Source: RefSeq, a predicted model, not a curated record
UAGGUGAUGGGGAGGAAGGCAGCAAAUCACACUGCCACGUGUGUACCUAUGCAACAAUUUGGCAUGUUCUUCACAUGUACCCCAAAACCUAAAAUGCAAUAAAAUAAAUAAAUGGGGGGGGGAAAGUUCAGCAUUAAGAGAAUAUUAAUUUCAGUGACUUCAUAAGUUUGACUGCAAUACAGUCAUUUAAAAUGUUUACAAAGAUUUGUUAGGAUCCAAAAUCAAUGUAAAAUAAGCUGAGGGGUGUAUGUGUGUAUGAUGUAAUAUGAACUGUGCAUGCCCAGAUACCUCCAAAUAUUUGAUUCUUCCUUCUGUAAAUACCCAAACAGAAUUGUUUGCAUCCCCAUGUACUAUACUGUGGGGAGUCCACCUUGCCGUGCUGUGAAGAUUCCAGGGGUCUACCUGAUUUCUGAUUCUCCUGAGUCAGUCCGUGCCACAGCCUGCCUUUCCACUGUCGCGCCCUCUCCUGGCUGUGGCCCCUGAUGCUCGUGGCUGUGAAAUCUCUUCCCAUACUCUCAUGAAUGAUGCCACCCACCUUUUUCUUUUUUCCUCCCAAAGCUUCACUAACACGUUACUGUGAAUUUUAGAAUUUCACUUAGUUUGAGAGUAGUAAAGGAUUAUCACUACUAGGGAGGUGUGAAGGUCUUCAGAUUCACUCUCUGAUGUGAAUCUAAUUUACUUCACUGCUCCUAGGAACUUGUCAGCUGUUUCCUGUGGUAAUGGUCUUGAAAAAUAGUCCCUCAUGGAUAUAUCACGUGCCCUUGUGUAGCUCCCACCUAUGCUGACUCUAGGCAAGCCCCUCGUAACCACCUGAAUGUGACAGAAGAGAUGGUGCUGCAUGACUUCCAAGGCCAGAUCAAAUAAGCCUUGCAGUUUCCACCUUGCUCUUUUGGAACGAAUGCAUCUAUACUGCCCUGAGAAAAGGGAGAGGAGCGGGGGAGAGGAGAGAAGAGGGGAGAGAAGAGAGGAAAUCCUGCCAAGCCAGGUGAGGCACCAGGCGUGUAAGUGAAUAAUUCAUUUUGGAGCUUUCAGACAAUGCCAGACAGCUCUGCAAGAGACCCCAAUUUAGGACCUCCCUGUAAACCUGCAGAGACAUAAGAAAUAAAUUUUGCCUAAUGCUACCAACUUCGGGGGCGGUUUGUUAUGAUAAUUAAAACAUUUGUUACCAGGGAAAUUUCCCAUUGUCUGUGGCCCUGGGCCAAGCCUUCUCUUCCCACAUCUGGCCCCUCCCCCAUAGAUGCCGGGACUUACCCCUGCUUGAGGUUAUCAACGAGCAAUUUCCCAAACUCCUUUUCACUUAGCCCUCUUUCUGUUUCACUUUCUCCUUUAAGACCACGUGGGAAGCAAGGUAGAGGUGAAUGCUUACAUUUCUCCUGGAUAAAAAAAAAAAGCCCAUUCAAGGCAUUUCCCAGAUAAAAGGAAAUCAACUUCUCUAAAGAUAAAUGUUGCCAUUCUCUUAAAAGGUUGCAGCAGCUGCAGUGACAGUUCUAAAUGCCACUCUUUCCCCUUCUUGCUACGUAUGUACAAACUGUACAGAAACAGGCAGGAUGAAAAUAUAACAAAACGUUAACAGAAAAUGCCUCUCAAGGAUUUCUUCCUACCUUAAAAGUACCUUUUAUUAUUUCAUUCUCAACAAAAUCAUUUUUAUAACACAGAUAUUUUAACAAAUAUAUUAACAAAUUUAGGUAAAGGCAGAAAGUGGCAUCGAAGUGUCACGAGCAAAGGCUGCUGGGGUGCAGGCCAAAUGCUGUGUUUGCUGCCGAGCCCCAGCCUCACGUGCCCACCCUCCCGCUUUCUUCUGUGCAGGCAGGGGCUGCCUCCCAUCUCAGUCACUUCUGUUGUCUGAGAUAGGGUCUCGCUCCUUCGCUCAGACUGGAAUACAGUGGCAUGAUCAUAGCUUACUACAGCCUUGAACUUUUGGGCCCAAGUGAUCCUUGCACCUCGCACCCCUCAAGAAGCUGGGACUACAGGCAUGUGCCACCAUACCUGGCUAAUUUUUCAAAACCUUAUGUAGAGAUGGGACUCACUCUGUUGCUCAGGCUGCUACCGCUGUCUUUACUAGCCCUUCUUGCUCCUCAUGCUUUGGCAUGUGAACCAAUCCCAGCCAGUGGGACCCCAGGUGAUAUCUGCUGAGAGGCUUCUGUGGAUGUACCUAAUAAAAAAAAGACAAAGGAGAGUCUCCUUUUCUUUGGCCAGAUGUUAUGUCUGCAAUGCUAGUAUCUGAAGCAACCAUGUGGAUCCCAUGAGAACAGCCUGAAGGCCAAGUCAGUGGCUGAGGUAGAAAGGCUGGCUCUUGAUGAUAUCAUUGAAUCACUGAACCAACCCUGUGACCACAGACUUCUUCCCCCUGCAUAUGUAAGUUAACCGCUAUGUGUUGUGUGUUACAGUGGAGGGCAUCCAAAUUGUAGGAACAUAAGAAACAGUUUUUCUCUCCCUGAGAGUCUAGGCCAGUGAUGAGUGGGGCUGAUGUGAAGAGAUAAGUCAAACCCAAUUUCUUAUGGGGCAGACAGAAAGCAGCUGGUCUGUGACAUGGGAGCUCCAUGUUCUGGGAUGCAUCUUGCUGGAGAAUGGAGCCCAGCCUGAGUGAGCAGCCCACACUGAUGGAUUGGGGGUAGAGGAAAUAAAAAAUGCCUUUUCUUCCUUGCUCCUCAGUAAGUGGUUGCCUUCCAUUUUCAGGCAGCAGAGUCUGAGUUCCCAUCUGCUGGGAACACAGAAAGGGGCAUGGCAAUGUAGUUACAAACCUGAAGAGUCUGUACAUCUCUCACUAAUCAAGCCAACACUGUGUGGAGCCAGGUCUUCCUAUUUGGAUGAAAAAGAGCGGACAGGGUCACAUUUGCUUGCCUUUUACUGCUCACUCAUUGAAUAGCAUUAGGAAAGGUUUACUUCAUGAACCUGGCACAAAGUAGGUUCCGUGCCUGAUGUUAACAUUCACUCUGCCCUCUUCACAAAUGAAAAGGUGGAAAAUUUCUGACUUCUGGUAAAUUCACAUUGAAAUGACUGUUUCUCGGGACACAGAUCCUGCAGUUCUUCCAUCUCUCCAGGCUGCUGUGAUUAUUUUUAAAAGUUUUUCAUGGUGUAAGGAGAAGAGCUGUUGAAAAGCUGUAAGUAGAGGUUAUUUUGGUGUUCAGAAAUCAAGUGAUAGUCAACUCUAUCUCAUAGCUCAAUGAAUGGUAGUAUUGGGAGAGAAAUUUAACUUUACUUUUGAAUUGAAUCCCUUUUUAUAUGUACCUUUAAAAACUUGCACAUUGAUGUUUUCUCCUCUAGUGAACCUUAGCAUAUAAACAAGGUAAUUUUUUUAAAAAGCAUUUUAUAUGUAGAGAUGAGCUUUUAUAUUUCUCAGACUUAAAUUUGAAAGCAGAGUAGGCAAUUGUUUUGCCUGCUUAACAAUCUCCUUUUCUUUCCUUUUUUUUUUUUUAAGGAGAUUUUAUUCUUUUUAAGAGACUGAGUCCACUAUAUUGACCAGGCUGGUCUCAAACUCCUGAGCUCAGGUGGUCCUCCUACCUUGGCCUCCCAAAAUGUAAGUAUUACUGGCAAGAGCCACUAUGUCUAGCCCCAACCUUUUCUAGAAAAUUCUGAGAAUUGUCUAAUCUACAAACUCCAUCUACAUAGUUAGUGCAAGUCACCACUACAAUAUGGCCCAAGCUAUGAGUCCAAACCCCUCUUCAGAUCAUAGAAUCCUGGAGAGAGUUUUCCUCUCUUUCAUUCUGUCUCCCUACCGUAUUUCUUCCUCCAUCUUGUGAAAACCUUUGCAGAUGGAUCUUCUGUUCUGAACACUUUUCUCCAAGGUGUGUCAUGCUUUGUUGCUGGAGUCUACAUCUAUGUAUAGCUAAUCUAACCCUUGUUACCUGAUAGUAAUUACUAUAUCAACUUUGUCGAUGUGUUACUAUAAAGGUGGGUAUAAGUUGUGUUAGGUUUACAAUAAACAUUUUUUGUUAUAUACAUUGUAUACAUGUUUAUCAAUUGCCUUGUUCUGAACCAGAGCCAGGCUUAUUCCCCUUCCAAAUGAAAACACCAGAGUCUCAAUACCUCCUGCCUCUUGCUUCUAUUAUGCUUUGGUCUUAUGCUCUACCCAUGACUUGUUUCUUUGCUUUCCACAUAGAACCCCAACUCAAGUUACUCCAACUCAAAAGCAUAGAUAAAUUAUAAAAUUCAAGAACAGAAAUUAGGAUGGAAAAUGAGUUUAACUUAAAGAAAAGAAUAGCAGCAGUCUCAUGUUUAAAGUCUAACAAUUUUAUGGGUUUAUUUUUGCUUUAAAUCUUGUCACCAUGAGUAAAUUUUUAGCUGUUCAUUUUUAUACAAUGACACAGGAUCAGAGAGAGCAUGAACACAUUAGUCUCUACAAGGCUAAUUCUACCCCAACACCCAUCAAAGCAACCCAAAUGACACGCCAUGCAUCUUGAGUGACCGUGCACUGCCACAUACUCUGAGCUCUACUACAGGUAAUGCUACACCAAAUUGACAUUGUAACUGUUUCAAAUGUCUCUUAGAGACAAAUAUAGAACAGUAGGUAUAAUAACCUCUGAAAACUUCCAGGAGUAAUGAGGUUUUGCCAAGGCUUGUUGUAUUUUUCAUGGAUAGUUGUCAGGAAAUAACUUACCAGAAAGCCCAAUUGAUUUGACAGUCAUUUUGACCUGUGAUUUAUUUAUUAAAUACAAUUUGAAGAUUCCUAAAAGAAAAAUUGCUAAUAAAUCAUAGAUCCUGUAUCUUUUUAUAAACAAUCCCUUGUGAUUUUUGAAGUUGCAAGAAAAUGCUGACAGAAAAAUUUUUAUGAUGUUGAAAUAGGUAUAAAUAAAAGCUUAUACAAAGCCACUGUCUCAACAUCAGCAGGAUAAGAGAUAAGAACUUCUGAGAUAUUAUACUGUUCCCCCAAAAAACACUACUGUUUUUUUUCCUUCCCCUUUCUCUUUCCCCACCCUGUCCUUUCCUCCUUUCUAUCCUUAAUAACUGAGCUCCUCCUACGGUUUUAAUGUUACUAAAUCAGAAACUGGCUUUGUUUCAUUUGAAUUUCCUUUUAUAUGUUCUCAUGAUUGAAAACAAAAGAAUAAAAACCCUACUUCUGAUCACAAUGAGAUCUUUACCAUCACUAAGCAUUUACUCUCUAGUAUAUGAAAUAUAUGAAUUAUUCUAAUUCAAUAGGAUUCUAAGGCAAUUUGGCAAUAGCUAGUAUUAAUUUGGAUUAAAAAAAGCCGUUGGUAUAAACAGAAAGAGAUGUGUAGGGGAAAUAAGCAGGCAGGCAAAUAAUUUAGAAAGAAGAGACAGCUUCUGUGGUUAAAAAUAAAAGUCUGGGAUUUAGUUUUUCUUUGCCAUACAGAAAACAGAUGUUGCUAUUUUUGUUCAAAAUAAAAAACUUAAAUUCCAUGAUUAGACUCUGGAAUAUGUAAAGUAACUAUGGAUACCAAAUUUAUGAUUUAAAAAAUCUGACAUUUAGUUUUCUGUUCAUAUUUGAAAUCAGGAAAUAAUCGUGCUCCUGAAAUGCCAACUUUCUAUAUAGCAAAUUCACUGAUUUAUACACUCAGGAACACUGAAGAUACUCUCAGUCCUGGCCUGUCUUUGGGGGCAUAAGGUUGUUACACUAUAUAGUCUGUUGUGAACAAAAAUAAAAAUAGGACAUUGAGAGAUGUUUUUGCUCUUCCCAUUUCUCCUUUUCUAUAAUUCUCUUCUUCCCCCCAGAAAGAUCCUGAAGGGAGAGACAACCUGGCUUUCACCCUCCACUGGGACAGUACUACCCCCGUCUUGGUCCCCAGAGGCUCCAUGUCUCACUUCCCAUGCCAUCCUUGAGAAACUAGGCUGCCCAUGAGAAUGCUGAGACAUUAUCAAAUAUAUUUCAAUUCUAUGACCUGAAUUGCAGUUGUGUAAGUGCUAUAAAUCAAAAUCAUUUGCUUUAAUAAUUGAAGAGUAAACUGAAAGACAAUACUGUAGAUGUUAAUGUUUCAAUGUGAACAUGUAUUUCAGAUAAAUUAAAAAGAACAAACACUGCUUUCUAGAAUAGAAGCAAAAGUUAUGGGUUUUCUCCAUGGUCAUAUUUUAUUCAUUAUUCUACUUUCUGCACACUGUAUAUGCUUGAGAUAAAACAAUAAUCAAAACGAUAAAUACAUAAAGACUGUUUAGUUGCAGUCUAGGAGCCUAAAUAAGAGCAGUAUUCUUGCUUAAUGACCCAUGGUUCUAGCUUUUCCCCACGCAGCAGGAUUUAUACCUUUUCAUUAUUACACGAAGAAGUCACCAUUUGUCCUAAGAUAUAUUAAGACAAACGGGAAUUUAAAACUUAUA